ACUCAAAAGAAAAGAAGAGGGAUUUUUUUUGUAAGUUGAGAAGAAGUAUUCAAAUAAAAAAGCUUCUUGGCAUGAUUUUAGGUAGAAAAAAUGCAUGAAUUAGAGCUUGGAUGAGAGAGUUAUGCUUAUUUAAACUUAGGCUAUUAAUUUGAUACCUACCAUCACUUUUCUAUGCAUAUUAGGAGUUUUAAGAUACUAGUAAGAAAUUAGGAAAUUUGAUCAAAAAUUAGACUUUAAGUUUAAUAUUUUACGUCCAAAGAUCAAAAGAAUUGAGUCCAAAAUGAGUGAGAUAUGGUUAGUUAAAACUAGUAAACUAAAACUAGGAUUUUGAAGAAAUUAGAGAAAUAGUUGGUUUUGAUUUUAAGCUAGAACUUGAGCUUCAAGACGAAUUUGAAGCUCAUUUUUUGUAUACAUGUCACUUAUGAUAUAAAAAGCCUAUGCCUAAAAUUUCAUGUCAUUUGAAGCUCCGACUUCAAAGAAAUGGUAGAAUUUGCUCUUAGGUAUCUGAAGUUUUGACUUUUGAAGGUAGCUACUAUGGUUUUGGUGAUAUCAGACAAUUUGUAACAAAUUUGCAACUAAAAAUUUGUAUGAUAAUGAUCAAAAGUACAAAUUUUGUAUCUCUAAAUUUUAAGCUUAUUUGAAUGACUAGAUCUUAGGUUAUAAAUUUUUAAGCUUUAAGUUUGUUGGUAUAUUAUAAACAUAGUUUUAUAAAUACUCAAAGGGGGAUUUAAGAAGGUUUUGUGCAUAUUGGACUCAAUUUGAAUAUAAAGAGGGACCUU
Molecule: long non-coding RNA, 779 nt
Filed under: Physcomitrium patens
Lineage: Eukaryota; Viridiplantae; Streptophyta; Bryopsida; Funariales; Funariaceae
Description: long non-coding RNA (PPAT_LNC011296)
Source: RNAcentral